Molecule: ribosomal RNA, 1422 nt
Filed under: uncultured bacterium
Lineage: Bacteria
Description: partial 16S ribosomal RNA
Rfam family: Bacterial small subunit ribosomal RNA
Source: RNAcentral
AGAGUUUGAUCCUGGCUCAGGACGAACGCUGGCGGCGUGCCUAAUACAUGCAAGUAGAACGCUGAAGAGAGGAGCUUGCUCUUCUUGGAUGAGUUGCGAACGGGUGAGUAACGCGUAGGUAACCUGCCUUGUAGCGGGGGAUAACUAUUGGAAACGAUAGCUAAUACCGCAUAACAAUGGAUGACAUAUGUCAUUUAUUUGAAAGGGGCAAUUGCUCCACUACAAGAUGGACCUGCGUUGUAUUAGCUAGUAGGUGAGGUAACGGCUCACCUAGGCGACGAUACAUAGCCGACCUGAGAGGGUGAUCGGCCACACUGGGACUGAGACACGGCCCAGACUCCUACGGGAGGCAGCAGUAGGGAAUCUUCGGCAAUGGGGGCAACCCUGACCGAGCAACGCCGCGUGAGUGAAGAAGGUUUUCGGAUCGUAAAGCUCUGUUGUAAGUCAAGAACGAGUGUGAGAGUGGAAAGUUCACACUGUGACGGUAGCUUACCAGAAAGGGACGGCUAACUACGUGCCAGCAGCCGCGGUAAUACGUAGGUCCCGAGCGUUGUCCGGAUUUAUUGGGCGUAAAGCGAGCGCAGGCGGUUUGAUAAGUCUGAAGUUAAAGGCUGUGGCUCAACCAUAGUUCGCUUUGGAAACUGUCAAACUUGAGUGCAGAAGGGGAGAGUGGAAUUCCAUGUGUAGCGGUGAAAUGCGUAGAUAUAUGGAGGAACACCGGUGGCGAAAGCGGCUCUCUGGUCUGUAACUGACGCUGAGGCUCGAAAGCGUGGGGAGCGAACAGGAUUAGAUACCCUGGUAGUCCACGCCGUAAACGAUGAGUGCUAGGGUGUUGGAUCCUUUCCCGGGAUUCAGUGCCGCAGCUAACGCAUUAAGCACUCCGGCCUGGGGGAGUACGAACCGCAAGGUUGAAACUCCAAAGGAAUUGACGGGGGGCCCGCACAAACCGGUGGAAGCAAGUGGGGUUUAAUUCCGAAACAACCGCGAAGAAACCUUUCCCAGGGCCUUGGAAUCCCGGAGGGUAUUUCUUAAAAAAUAGAAAAGUUACUUCGGUACAUCGGUGACAGGUGGUGCAUGGUUGUCGUCAGCUCGUGUCGUGAGAUGUUGGGUUAAGUCCCGCAACGAGCGCAACCCUUACUGUCAGUUACUACGCAAGAGGACUCUGGCAGGACUGCCGUUGACAAAACGGAGGAAGGUGGGGAUGACGUCAAAUCAUCAUGCCCUUUAUGACUUGGGCUACACACGUACUACAAUGGCGUUAAACAAAGAGAAGCAAGACCGCGAGGUGGAGCAAAACUCAGAAACAACGUCCCAGUUCGGACUGCAGGCUGCAACUCGCCUGCACGAAGUCGGAAUUGCUAGUAAUCGUGGAUCAGCAUGCCACGGUGAAUACGUUCCCGGGCCUUGCACACACCGCCCGUC